This is a long non-coding RNA of Triticum aestivum (bread wheat), 4624 nucleotides long. RefSeq lists it as uncharacterized. The record is from RefSeq and is a predicted model, not a curated record. The transcript has 3 exons. NCBI's taxonomy places the organism in Eukaryota, Viridiplantae, Streptophyta, Magnoliopsida, Poales, Poaceae.
ACGUGGGGCAUGGAAAAACUAUCUGCAAACUGAUAUAGAGAGAAGCUGCUCUUCCUCUACCUGGCAUCCUACCUACCCCUCCUUUCCCUUCCUUCUUCUCCGGCGAGAUCUAGAUUGGGCACGUUACAAGUGGUAUAAGAGGUCAGGCGACCUGGAGACGGCCUACCCCCGACCCCGCUACGCCACCAAGCAGGCUCUGAAGACGGCGGCCAUGGAGGAGCAGCUCGCCGCGCUCAUCAAGUCUGUCAACGAAGGACGGGCCGCCAACGACGCUUGGUUGGAUGCGAUCCAGACCUCCCUCGAGCUCUGGCGCCCGGCGGUGACGAACCUUCAGAAUCAAGUCGACGAGCUCCGCACGCAGGUGGGGCGCAUCGCCCUCCACCCCGCCCUGGCAGAUCCGACGAGGACUGCGGUGGAUCUCACCGGAACCGCGCCUGAUCCGGGACGAUCGGGUGUGGACCAGGUGGUGGGCACCGCGGCGGCAAUCUCACCAAGGGCUGACUCGAGACACCAAGGGCCAAGUGGCCACCGUGACAUCGCCGAAACCGGGGGCCUGGCACACGGGGUGGUCACCACCCUAGCGCCGCCUCCGGCCAACGGUACGUUCCCACCCAGGCAUCCAUCCCCUUCCUUCUGUAUGGCUGAUCUGAGUGGGAGGGAGAACCACUACGAGUCCUUUCAUCAGAGUUCGCAUGUGUAUUGGUCACUGCCCAAGCUUGAUUUUCCUCAAUUUGAUGGGGAUAAUCCACAAUUCUGGAAAAUGAAAUGUGAAAAAUACUUCGACGUCUAUGCUGUCCAACCAGAGUUAUGGGUUAGAGUAGCUACCUUGCAUUUUAAUGGCAACGCUGCUAGAUGGUUACAAUUACAUGAAGCUAAGAGUCAACGGUUCACUUGGGGAGAGUUGUGUGAGGCUCUCUACACCAAAUUUGGGAGAGAGCAAUACCAGUCUCAUAUUAGACAGUUCAAUACCCUUCGUCAGAGUGGGUCAGUUGGUGAUUACAUGAAUAGGUUUGAUGAACUUAUCAUAACAUUUUAGCUCAUAAUUCGGGGUUUGAUUCUGUCUACUUUACAACCCAGUUUUUGGAAGGGCUUAAACCUGAAAUCCGAGCAAGUGUUAUGUUGCACCAACCCCAUGACUUGGACUCUGCGUUUUCCUUGGCAUCUAUGCAGGAGGAGCUGCUGGAGGCGCUACCUCCCCGCGAAUACCGCCGCCAAGACCAGCGUGGUGUGACUCCUCGUCUGCUCUUGGCGAUGGGUGCACCAGCGCGUCAAAUGUUGCCGGGGCCGUCGGUGGGAACGGAGGACCGACGCGGCCUGGACGCGGCGCGAGCUCCAGAGCGCCGGGAUCGAGACCAAGAUUGCGGCGACGACCGCGUGGCGGCUUUGCGCAACUACCGCCGAGCCCGUGGGUUAUGCUUCAAGUGCGGCGAGCGGUGGGGGCAAGGCCAACAAUGUGGCCCUACCGUCCAGCUUCACGUGGUCGAGGAGUUGUUGGACCUGCUUCAGACCAAUCCAAUGGAGCCAGUGGGUCUCCAGCAUGACUCGGAUGAUGAAGUCUUGAUGUCCAUCUAUAAACUGGCAACCACAGGAUAGACGACUCCGCGCACUGUCAGAUUGGUCGGGCGCAUUGGUGAUCAUGAAGUACUGAUCCUGGUCGACUCAGGGAGUUCCCACAGUUUCAUUAGUGAGUCUGUCGCAUCUAAAAUUCAGCAUCAAGUUCAGUGAACAACACCAACAGUCAAGAUCGCUGACGGAGGGGCUCUCCAGUGUUCAGGUUAUGUCCCAAACUGCCGAUGGGCAUCUCAAGGGCACAAAUUCACGACAGACCUCCGAGUACUGUCACUGGGCUGUUAUGACAUGGUGGUCGGCAUGGACUGGCUUCGGCAGUGCGGGCCAAUGUGGGUUGACUGGACAACGAAGACUUUGAAAUUUAUGCAUGAAGGGCAGCAGGUUUCUCUUGUGGGAGUGUAGGCUCAACUCGAUUCCUUACAGCAAAUUUCUUUGGACCCGUUGUGCGCCUUGGAAGCAUCAAAUGCAGUGGCUCACAUCGUGGCCCUAACGCUAUCCCCAUCUGGCGCGACGAUUACGGAGAUACCGCCUGAGACUCAGCAAGUUUUGGACCAGUUUCAAAGCGUGUUUGACGAACCGAUGACACUUCCACCGCACAGAGAUUGGGAUCAUUUGAUUCCCCUGAUUCCGGGGGUUAAGCCUGUUAAUGUGCGUCCAUACAGAUACACGCCUAAGCAGAAAAACGAGAUUGAAGCUCAAGUUAAGGAACUGCUUAAGUCAGGACUGAUUGUGGAGAGUCUCAGCCCCUUUUCCUCGCCUAUUCUAUUAGUGAAGAAGAAAGAUCAGACAUGGCGACUAUUCGUGGAUUAUAGGCACCUCAACGCCGUGACCUUGAAGACUAACUACCCCUGCCAGUGAUCGACGAGUUACUUGACGAGUUGGCCGGCUCAUGCUGGUUCUCAAAGCUUGACUUGCGUGCCGGAUACCACCAAAUUUGUCUUAAGGAGGAGGAUGAGGCAAAAACUGCCUUCAAAACGCAUCAGGGACAUUACCAGUUCAGAGUGAUGCCAUACGGAGUCACGGGAGGUCCUACGACGUUCCAAGGUGGCAUGAACACAGUCUUGUCGCCGCUGUUACGCCAUGGUGUUCUUGUGUUUAUGCACGACAUUUUGAUGCAUUCCAAAGACCUUGUGGGGCAUAGAGAAUUGCUGCGACAAGUGUUGCAGUUGUUGUCUGAGAAUGAACUCAAGGUCAAGCUUUCCAAAUGCACAUUUGCUCAGCCUCAGAUUGAUUACUUGGGUCAUUGCAUCAGUGCGCAAGGAGUGGCCACGGACCAAAAAAAGGUUGCAGCUGUCAGAGACUGGCCAACACCUUCACCAGUACGUGAGUUGAGGGGCUUCUUGGGGUUAGCCGGGUACUACCGGAAGUUCGUCAGAAACUUUGGGGUUAUCAGUCGACCACUCACUGAUCUACUGAAAAAGAACACACUCUUUGUCUGGACACCCACAACGGAUGCAACUUUCUCCUCUCUGAAACAAGCCUUGAUUGAAGCGCCCGUGCUCACCUUACGGGACUUCGAGAAGGUAUUCGUGGUGGAAACGGAUGCUAGUGCCACCGGUGUGCGAGUCGUCCUUAUGCAAGACCAUCAUCCCUUGGCAUAUCUCAGUAAGCCGCUCUGCUCCAAGAAUUUGGGAUUAUCAGCUUAUGAGAAGGAAUGCUUAUCAGAUUCAGAAAACCCACUGAUUCCUAUGUGUUUGUAAGUUUGCACGACGGUGGCUGGAUCAUUGUCCUAUUACCCCGUUUGUUCUCUGAAUCUUCUUCGUUUCUAUCUCAGUGCAAAUCACCUGGCAGGAAGAUCCAUGAGCAUAUCUGACAGCCUGUGUUGGUUCGUGCAGUGACAAGUGGGAAGAAAAAUUAGGGACGUGAUUUGAUUGAUGGGAUUAAAGAUGGAUUCGCAUCCCACAUUUUCUCUGUUAUUUUAUACUAAUGUGGCCGGUAUGUAUUUGUGAGCACACUUGGCACAGAAACUUAACUGGUGGAUAGAGAGAACAUCUGUCUGACCUCCUGUGUUUUUUAUUUUUAUGCGGGGGAAAGAGAGAUAUAGUAUUGAUUAAUCAUCAGGAAUAUGGUUACAGUCAGCACGGAAAAGCCUUUGGAAUAGAAUCGAAUCCGUGGACCUGAAUGCAGUCAGCUGCGAUUGUGCUUUUCCAAUCUGCUACAGAAGUAAACAUGUGAAAAAUGAUGAGAAGAGGAUUACCAUGACUUGGUAGACCAUGAUUUGUGUAUGCGGGAUAGAAUUUUCAUCCUAGUCAUGCAAGGAACAAUGUCCAACAGUACGUAUUAGACGGGUCCUUGUUGGAUGCAAGCACUCUUAAAGAUCUGUGCAAAGCACUUCUAUAUCUACAUAUUCUUGUCCCAUCUCUUCAGUGUUCUUCUAACACCUCAUCUAAAUUAUGUGGGUGACUCCUCUCGAUCGUAUACUCAUCUCAUCGCGCGGUCUGGAUAUAAUUUAUUCACUUGAACAGGUCUCAGCACGGGGCGGGAGCUAGGAGUCAAGUGUGGAGUAUGACGCAGGGCCUCUCAAGUCUCGAACAAAACAUGACGACGACAGUUAACGUUUGCACGAUGGUGGCUGGAUCAUUGCUUGUAUUACCCCGUGCGUUGGCUGAAUCUUCUUCGUUUCUAUCUCCGUGCGAAUUGGUUGGCAGGAUGAUCCAUGAGCAUAUCUGAAGUGAUAUCAUAUCAGGUAGCUUCUAUCUGUUCGUGCAGUGACAAGUGGACAGAAAAAUUAGGGACGUGAUCUGAUUGAUGGGCUUGAAGAGAUGGAUUCGUAUCCUGCCUUUUGUGUGUUAUUUUAUAUUAUGUGGCCGGUAUGGAUUUGUAGCACACUUGGCAUAGAAACGUAACUGUAGAGAGCAGGAAUUAGAACAUAUGUCUUCUUUUCUUUGCAGGGAAAAGGGAGAUAUAUUGAUUAAUCAUCAGGAAUAUGAUUACAGCCAACAGCGACAAUCUGAUAUGUUUUGGAAUAGAACGGAACUAGAAGCAUACGCGCGCCUUGGUGUGCCGUUCUACUUUUCUACCAUUUGUUUGUUUGAUUGUUAAUUCACGAAUAGAU